This 24-nucleotide non-coding RNA is filed under the name Arabidopsis thaliana (thale cress). Lineage: Eukaryota; Viridiplantae; Streptophyta; Magnoliopsida; Brassicales; Brassicaceae. The record is from RNAcentral.
AGAAUUUAAGAGAGAAUUGCUGCC